AGAAAAAAACAUUGGCCCCAGCUCAGCCAACCACUGGGGCUCCACUGCAGUGGCACACUGCAUGUAUUCCUUUGUUGUCAAAAUCAAUUCAUGAUAUACCACGUACUCUGGAGUAUAACCUAAACCAUAUAAGGCACUGCUUGGGUGAAGAUGGCAUGGCAUUCCAUUCCUGCAAUUAACAUAUUCCCCAACACCCUUUAAUCUUGCAGCAUUGUGAAAAUAUGCAGAACAUAUGGCCUUUCGUAUAACAUCCCAAUCAUGACCACAAGAAGUUAAUGGAAUUUUCAAAGUUUUGAGAAUAUCUAGAAGCUGGGAUCUGACUUCUCUAGCCUUCCGUAAUCCUUUGACAUGCAAAAAGUGAUCGUUGCACCAAUCUCCACGGUAUUGAUGCUCUUUCCAUUGCAAAUAAACAUUAAGCAGAGUCAGGUGGUCAGAUUCGGGAACAAAAAAUUUUUCCCUUGCAGCAUCACUCUCCUCUGCCCUAUCUUUGGGCCGGAAAAACACUGAUGGCACUGAAAGCAUUGACACAAUUGUCAAAACCUCAUUUAUACAUCCUAGUUGUUCUCCCAUCAAGAGCAUCUUAGCUAGUGGGGGGUCUAGAGG
This 603-nucleotide unclassified non-coding RNA is filed under the name Hevea brasiliensis (rubber tree). The record is from RNAcentral. Lineage: Eukaryota; Viridiplantae; Streptophyta; Magnoliopsida; Malpighiales; Euphorbiaceae.